This 492-nucleotide ribosomal RNA is filed under the name uncultured bacterium. RNAcentral's name for it is "partial 16S ribosomal RNA". It matches the Rfam family "Bacterial small subunit ribosomal RNA", at positions 29 to 507 of the family's 1533-position model. The record is from RNAcentral.
AGUGAACGCUGGCGGUAGGCCUAACACAUGCAAGUCGAACGGCAGCACAGUAAGAGCUUGCUCUUACGGGUGGCGAGUGGCGGACGGGUGAGGAAUACAUCGGAAUCUACUUUUUCGUGGGGGAUAACGUAGGGAAACUUACGCUAAUACCGCAUACGACCUACGGGCGAAAGCAGGGGAUCUUCGGACCUUGCGCGAUUGAAUGAGCCGAUGUCGGAUUAGCUAGUUGGCGGGGUAAAGGCCCACCAAGGCGACGAUCCGUAGCUGGUCUGAGAGGAUGAUCAGCCACACUGGAACUGAGACACGGUCCAGACUCCUACGGGAGGCAGCAGUGGGGAAUAUUGGACAAAGGGCGCAAGCCUGAUCCAGCCAUACCGCGUGGGUGAAGAAGGCCUUCGGGUUGUAAGGCCCUUUUGUUGGGAAAGAAAAGCAGCAGGUUAAUACCCCGCUGUUCUGACGGUACCCAAAGAAUAAGCACCGGCUAACUUCGUG